UUAGGGAACUUGUAUUACAUCAACAUAUUUCAUUUAAAUGCAAAAUUCUAAGAUUCGAAUAAGCUGGCAGAUUUGCUAUUCUAUUGCUUCCCAAAACUCAUAACUUCAGCAACACCUUGAGCACUAAAUUAAGCAGCAGUAGGCACAGAAAUUUUUAGCUCAGAAUGACGACCUUAACAGUAGAAACAAAGCAUUGAAAUCACAGCAAUAUUUAGUCAGAAUAACCACAAAAUACAGUUGAAUAGUGCAAGAUCUGCUUUAAAAAAACAGCUCAAAACUUGAAUAUCAAUAAUGUAUUGUUAGCAUAUAAACUAAAGCAACACAAUUGGGUUAAAUGAAGUGAAAACUUUUGCAAAAUUUCAUCAACUGGUAAGAAAAACAAUAGUAACAACAAUCAAUUAGAGAAAUUUGGAAAUCUUCAUUUUUGAGUGAAAAAUAAACAAUGCAGGGUUGUGGACAGCAAGUAUGAAAUCCUUUAUAGCAACAGAAAACAAGCAGCAAAUUAUUUUCCAGCAAACAUGCAGCUUCUGUCAGCAUAUUCUAACCAACUGGUCAAUAGUAUAUAUAACAAGAGAACUCAAUUCAACAAGGAGAAAUUUUAGAAGUAAAAACCAGAUUUCAAACUAUCACUGCUAAACUUGAGUACAGUCUCAACUAACAUAGAUUUCCGACAGAUUUAGCUUACAGUAUGUUCGACCAAAUCACAAUUCAAGCAUGUUCAAUCUCUACUCCCACUGAAUCCCCUCCAUUAAACUUAACAAUAACAACAACUAUUAGAAACCAGUGGUAACAAGUUCAAAUAUGAGAAUUUCAUCUAUCAAUUUACUCCAAAAACUUCACAAAUAGUGUCAAACUUCAACAAGACAAGCCUCAGAACUCCGCAAUCUUAGCACAAAUGUAAUUGGCCCACGAACAAUUCAUAGAUUGAAUUAAAAUCACAAUACAAUGCUCUAAAAAACAAAGACUGAUCUCAACAUAACUCUAACCAUUUCAAUAGUAGAGUCCAUUGACACAACUCAAUUCGUACAAUUUCCAACAAGCAACUUCAUAAUUCUAAAACUAACCUAUGUGGCUAAAAGUGGCUAAAAGUGGCUAGAAGUGCAAUAUCUGGCUAUGACCCCGCAAAGCCAAGAACGUAAGAUUUACUAGGAAGACCGGACCCUAUGUGGGUUGCCUAAGUAUCACGCCUCGAAAUACGAGAAUCAGGUUUGCGUAGUUCGAGCAGAUUAGAUACAUGCGAGAAUUAAAAAAAAUAACUAAUUUAGAUAAAAACAUUAUUUUUCUGCUUUUUCUUGUAAAAUGUUGAAACAUGCAAAAUCUUUUGAAUUUUCUUUUUUCCUUUUUUUAUUUUUUAAGAAAUGAUAAAAGGUGCAAAAUCCUUUUUUUUAAAUUUUUCAUGUAUUUCUUUUUUUUUUUUAAAUGUAACAAAAACAUUACUAGACCCUACUUGAUUUAUUUUAACACUUCACCCUCUCUUUCCUUUUUUUCAUUGUUUUUCUUUUCUUUUUUUUCAUUUUUUCAUUUAUCCUCAGCUAUCAUUGGUCCGCCAAAUGACCCUUUUGCCCUUGAAUAAAUGCAACAUGUAGCACAUAGGAUGCAUCAAGAUGGUCUGUUAUUUUGGGUACACCUGUCCUAGACAAACCCAACCCUUGUGUUGAGUCCCCUAAGUCAAAUGCACGUGAUGCAAACAAACAUUCCUACUAGGGAUCCGGCAUGAGACUAAGUUAUUCUAGGUUCAAAACUGGGCAUUUGUUCUAGGCUUGUGUACCCGAGCGGACAACUCGAGUCGAGGAGAGGGCUACGUACCGAGAACUAAAAGUCCAUCCGGCUUAGUAACGGCUUGAGGCUUUGUUAUACUAGGUUCAGAACCUGGGUAUUUGUUCUAGACUGUGUACCCAAGCGGACAACUCGAGUCGAGGAGGGGGCUAUGCACCGGGGACCCGCAAGAUCAUUCGGCUUAGUAGCUUGUCCGAGCCUCUUUCUUAUUUCAAGGUAUAACUCUAACAGAAUAGGGAGUCUCGACCAGCGAGCACAUUCCUGUAGAUAAGAAGAGAAGGGUUUCGCAACAGUUUAUAUGUACAAUUCAAAUAAUAUCAAAGAGAUAAAAGAAUCGCUUUGCAUAUUAAGUCAGCAUGUAAAAUCAGAUAAUAAACAAAGCCAAAUACAAUAAUUAUUCUAAGCUCGAAUUCUUGAACCAUGCACCAAAGAUUCUGGGUUCGAUUCCCCAGCAGAGUCGCUAGAGCUAUCACACCUCCUUUUGACUACUACAACCCCGUGAAAGGCGUAGUUAAGGGAGUUUUUUUCAAUUAAAGGACAAUCGAAACGGGAUCUAAUUACUUAAGAGAUUUUCAGAGUCACCACUUGGAAGAUUUAGGGUGUCCCAAGUCACCGGUUUAGAAUCUCGAAUUGAGGAAAAAAUUACUCUGUUUAACAGUCCCUGAACUAGAAAUCCGAGUAAAGAAUUCUGUUAUCCCGAGAGAAGAUGUUAGGCAUUCCCGGGUUCCGUGGUUCUAGCAUGGUCGCUCAACUGUCAUAUUCGGCUUAAUUACCUGAUUUUAUAGAAUUAUAAACCUAUAUGAAAAUAUUAACUUCUAGCCGCUUAUUUAUUUUUUUAAAGAGAAUUUUAGAAUCGUUGAAACAUGUCUCGAACCACGUUACAUAAAUGCACCCGUGAUUUUUUACACAUUUCAACUUCGUUGGGAUUUGGAUUUGGAUCACAUAAAUGCGCACCGAAGUUUAGGAAGAUAAAUUAUUAAAACAACGUGCCUAAAGCAACUACCAUAUUUAUGAAUAUGAAGGGUCUAAGCAUGUUCCUUGCCACCCAAAUAAUAAAAUCAGCAUUAAAAUUACAAAGAUCCAUUUAUACUCAAUUCUCACUUCAUUCUUAUAUCAAAACCAAACUUUUUUCCUUUCUUAAGCUUGACCGAUAUCAAUCCUUAGCUCUUAUUUCAGCAUGAUCCCAAUCAUUAAUGGAAGGUUUAUAACAAAAUCAGUUAUAUAACCUUUGCCAUCAAUCCAAGUGGAGAGUAUAUUUGUAGGAUGAUCAUUUGAUUCUUUCUUUAACCUUGGUAAAUAAUGUUUCUCAUGUUUCUUUGCAAAUUCCAGCACAAGAAUUAACAUGAAUGUAAUCGUUUAAGAGAAAUAUUGGACAAGUGCUAAUCUCUAGGUGCCUAAACAUAUGGAUAACUUCAACAAUUGUGCAAUAAAUUCACCUCGGGCUACAAGUGCAAAAUACACUCAACCCAAACACUUAGCAUAUGCAACAUAUCAAAUAGAGAGAUUAAGGAUCAAGAGAAUUGGACCUUUAUUGCUUUAGUGUAAACGGGUUACAACAGCAACUAUGAGCGUAAGACUAGACCUCGACCGGAACGGAAUCUAACGGCUGUCACCUCGACGGACAGUACCAAAGAGCUUCAAACCUUGCGCGGGGAAUUACUCUCCAGUGACCUCAACUCCACGUAAAUUUAAGAUCCUAAGGCAGCCCGGCAGCUGCGUUUAUUGAUUUGUUUUCCGGCGAUCUUGGUGGACUGCGUCGAAGUGAUUGCUGGUUAAGGGUGUGAUGGUGAGGCUCUUUGUGUGGAGGUGGAGGCUGUGUGUUUUGGUUUAGGGGAUCCUUCUCUAGGUUAAGGCGAUGAAGAAGAUAUGCUAAGGUUUUCGAGUUGUGAAUGGAGAAGAAGAAGAAGCUUAAGCUUCAUGGAAAACGAGUUUGUUGGUUUCGUUUCAAUGAGGAAGAAGCUCAUGGUGUGUUAUGACUGAAGCUGUGUCGAUCUAUAGCUGCUUCUUCUCUAUAUUAAGCCCCUUUCAUAGCUGAAGAAUUCUUCUCUUUUGAAGAAGAAGAAGAAGAAGAACGACGUGAGGAAAUUUUCACUGUUGCGGCGCUCCCUCCUCUUAUGUUCUCACGCGUGUAUUAUCUAUUAUGUGAAUUAGGUCUAGG
RNAcentral lists this long non-coding RNA (3934 nucleotides) under Nicotiana benthamiana. Its description in RNAcentral is "long non-coding RNA (NBEN_LNC034676)". The record is from RNAcentral. Lineage: Eukaryota; Viridiplantae; Streptophyta; Magnoliopsida; Solanales; Solanaceae.